RNAcentral lists this ribosomal RNA (101 nucleotides) under Sinocyclocheilus grahami. The record is from RNAcentral. Lineage: Eukaryota; Metazoa; Chordata; Actinopteri; Cypriniformes; Cyprinidae.
CAUUGCAGCCAUAUCACCCUGUAGCCCACUGAAGCUAAGCAGGGCUGAGCCUGGUCAGUACCUGGAUGGGAGACCUCCUGGGAAAACUAGGUUGCUGAUGG